Molecule: long non-coding RNA, 484 nt
Organism: Hyla sarda
Lineage: Eukaryota; Metazoa; Chordata; Amphibia; Anura; Hylidae
Exons: 4
Source: RefSeq, a predicted model, not a curated record
CUAACACCUGAUUGGUCAACUGCUCUCCCGAGUUCUACAGCGCAGCCAGCAACUGGUUCCUGUUCGCCCCGCCCUCUUGUUUAGUUGUUUACGAUGUUGCGUUAUGGAAUAGCGACCGGGAGCUGGUGGAUUCGGCAUAUGGACAUCUUGGAAGGUCCACCACUCAAUUAUUAGAAAGAACAUUUCCUGUUUUGGUGGACUACCAUGUAACGUGUGGUGGGGAACUCUGGAUUGUAUCAGACUCCUGCAGUAAAUAAAAAGAAAGUUUCAAAGUUUCACCAAGAAAGGAUGCAAGUAAUGACAAAAUUUUUCCAGUAUGUUAAAGUAGAAUAUGUCACGGAAAAACAUUCUCGGAAUCAGAAUGAAAGAUCCGUGUAUACUGUGGACUACUUCGGAUUCAGUGUACUACGUCGAUGACCAGCAUUUUUUUUAGUUUAAUGUUAAUAAAAUGGUUAACGAGGGCUUGUGGGAGAGUGUUUUUUAG